Rhineura floridana is the source of this 662-nucleotide long non-coding RNA. RefSeq lists it as uncharacterized. Lineage: Eukaryota; Metazoa; Chordata; Lepidosauria; Squamata; Rhineuridae. The record is from RefSeq and is a predicted model, not a curated record. The transcript has 3 exons.
CACAAUUCCCUGUAUCCGAGCCAUGAUACAAAACCCAGGUUAACAAAUUUACAGGUUCAUGACAGAGGAAACACCAGCAAAAGCAAAGCAAGACACCAACCACCAAGCUGAAUAAAUAGGAUAUCUCUUUCUCUUGGAAAUUGGUUUUUACAGAGCUCUUCAGGAGCAGCCCAUCAAAGAAAUUUAUGUUGAAAAUCGUUAAAAACACCUUGACAGUGUCCUUUUAAGAUUGCUAAACUGAAGCAGCAGCUCCAGUGGACGAAGCUGGGGGCCAAAAACAGCAGAGAGAAAGAUCGGGGCUCCUCAGUUCAAGGGGAUCAUAGUGUGCUUUCGCCAGCCAAGUUAUUUGCACCACUCCAGCAGCUUUGACUGGCAAGUCCACUAACGUCUCAUCGCAUCUGGAUCUCGGGGUUUCAAAGGAAUUGAGUUAUAGAGUUGGAAGGGAUUUCAAGUCUUCUUCUCCCACUCCCUCCCUGCCAAUGCAGGAAAUUUGCUGCUACAACAUCAGCCUCUGCUUAAAAAUCUCUAAUGAAGGGGAGUCCACCUGAGGUAGUCAUUUCCAACACUGAAGAGCAGUUCUUCUUAAUGUUGAGUGACUCAAAGUCCACUUUCUUGUAAUGUAACCCCUCUGGACCAAAAUAAAAUAAAUUUGUUCUAUCAGA